This 233-nucleotide long non-coding RNA is filed under the name Mustela putorius furo (domestic ferret). RNAcentral's name for it is "lncRNA (ENSMPUG00000028825.1)". The record is from RNAcentral. Lineage: Eukaryota; Metazoa; Chordata; Mammalia; Carnivora; Mustelidae.
AAGAGCUCAGAUGUUGUGGUGGAAAGAGUACCAGAUUCAGAAUCAUCCUUAACAGAAAUCGAUACCUGGGUCACUAUAAAGGAGACUUGCUUUCAACACUGGUCAUCUCACCAGGGAGAGCCUGUCAGAGUGGAAAAUGUUAAUUUGAUGGGACAAGACAACGUGGCUCUGAAAAACAAAAGAAAAAAUGUUGUUAAUGGCAUUGAACUCUACAGGGAGUAAAGACUGAAUUA